CCUACGGGAGGCAGCAGUGAGGAAUAUUGGUCAAUGGACGAGAGCCUGAACCAGCCAAGUAGCGUGAAGGAUGACUGCCCUACGGGUUGUAAACUUCUUUUAUAUGGGAAUAAAGUGUUCCACGUGUGCGUUUUUGUAUGUACCUUAUGAAUAAGGAUCGGCUAACUCCGUGCCAGCAGCCGCGGUAAUACGGAGGAUCCGAGCGUUCUCCGGAUUUAUUGGGUUUAAAGGGAGCGUAGAUGGGUUGUUAAGUCAGUUGUGAAAGUUUGCGGCUCAACCGUAAAAUUGCAAUUGAUACUGGCAGUCUUGAGUACAGUAGAGGUAGGCGGAAUUCGUGGUGUAGCGGUGAAAUGCUUAGAUAUCACGAAGAACUCCGAUUGCGAAGGCAGCUUACUAAACUGCCACUGACAUUGAUGCUCGAAAGUGUGGGUAUCAAACAGGAUUAGAUACCCUAGUAGUC
RNAcentral lists this ribosomal RNA (460 nucleotides) under uncultured bacterium. RNAcentral describes it as "partial 16S ribosomal RNA". It matches the Rfam family "Bacterial small subunit ribosomal RNA", at positions 338 to 795 of the family's 1533-position model. The record is from RNAcentral.